CUCCUUCUAUUGUGGCAAAGUGGAGCAGGAGGAAGUGAAUGCUAGGAUGUGAACAGACCAAGCCAGGAUGAGGAUGGAGCCAACAUGAAGACAACAGCAGUCUGUAAACUUUUUUUUUCUUUUUACACUAUCAGUUGUUUCCUUGUUUUUGGCAAAUGAGAAAUUGCUAAGAACUGCCAGGUAUUUGUUCAUUAUGAUCUUUUACACUUUCUUUUAAAGUGGACUUAAUAUCUAUGCUUUGGUGGGAUUGAGAAUCAUGCGUCACUAUUGUGAUGUUUUUUUGCUAUCACAGUGUAACUCACAGAUAUUCAGUGAUGUAGUUGAAAAGGAUGUUUUUCAGAAACAGAUGGAUCAGAAAGUAUCAUGGGGCAGCACUCAGUCAGUCGUAUGUCUGGAAUUCCGCUAGUUCUGAACUAUUCGUGAUUGGCAAAAGUUCACUACUAGCAGAACUCGGAUAUACAACUGAAUUCUCAACGAAAGCUCAAGAUUAGCACAGUUUGGUCUCACAUGGCCUGCCAUUGGACAGCUGCUAUAUUCACGGUAUUUAAAAAAUACAUUUGAAUGAAAUUAAUCCAUAUAAUAGAUGUUAAUCUAACAUGGGCAAAACUUUGCUUUCACUGCUCAUUGUUUCUCUAACAUCAUUUGUGGUUUAAUUUCUAGAUGAACUAUCAAGUUGAUCUUGUUCUUGAUUUGAUUGUGUUAGGCUGGAUUGAAAAUGACAAAAGCUCACUUCAUAUUCUUUCUUUGCACUUUUCUCUUGAUUUGGAAGUGAUCUACUUAUCGGAUGAAGUACCAGAAGUUAAGACCAUCUUUGGAUGUGCUACUCCAUUAAUCAUAACUGAAGGGCUACAGACUUGAUUACAACCAGACAUAUGAGAUACUUCUCUGUUUUCAUGUUUUAGCUGUGGUAAAAUGGUGUGGUCUGUUUGAAACAGGAAGAAAUAAGACCAAUGUAACAUAUUUAAUAUAUAAACUAUAUAUUAAAUAUAUAUACUCUUCAACUGCUACAUUUAACAACACAAUUCUUUCUUUCUUUGCAUUUAUUGUACAUUUUUAAUGAUAAUAAUGAAUUUCUACUAAUUCUACUGGUUCAGCAAGCCAAGACCAAGUUACAAAAAUUCCUAUUGUGUCUAUGUUUAUUAUUUACAAUCACUGUAAAAU
Long non-coding RNA from Sinocyclocheilus grahami, 1161 nucleotides. RefSeq lists it as uncharacterized. The transcript has 2 exons. Lineage: Eukaryota; Metazoa; Chordata; Actinopteri; Cypriniformes; Cyprinidae. The record is from RefSeq and is a predicted model, not a curated record.